AGGUCUCUUUUUGAUACACAAAGUGUAUUUAUAAGCUUGGAAAUAACACACAUGGUAAGUACUGCCCUUAAGAGAGACUCCAUACAUCUCUAGGAGGAGAAAGACAGUGUGGGAAUAAAUACUUAAUAGGAAAGUAAAAAUCAGUAGGGGGAAAGAAGGGAAGAGAAAGAACAUGGCAUUUCCCUCUGACAGGCAGAAUUUUCACCAUUAUUUGUCAUACGCUGAGGAUGUCAAGGAAUUUUAAGGCUGCACUCUCUGCAUUUUUCGAGGUUAUUAAUGAAAUAGCAUAGCAAGGUGAAUUACAUUAAACUAUUUUUUCGAGCCAUUCCAGAAAUCUUCGUCCAAGUUGGCACGAAGCUGGAAAGUCGUGAACUUUUGACCGGAGCUCGGAUUGCUGGGAGACACAUCCUCCUCGUUAGUUUCGGGUGACAGCUCACUGUACCAGAGACUCUCUGCAGAGGAGAGAGAGAAGAGGGGGAGGAAGAACAGCUGAGGCGCCUUUGAGAUCAACCCACCUCAACCAAGCACUUCCUGCCAGCAACCAUCUUGGAAUGGCGGGUUAUUGGCAAAACCUAGAUUUGCACUUUCUGUAUUGAAUCUCUAGGAUUCUUUAAGUCAAAGCUUCUUAAACUGGAUGUCAUGUGGGAUUGCACAACUGAAUGGAAGAUCCUCAAAAAUUUGGAAACAGUAAAAGUCUACUUGAUGAUGAUGAAGAAGAGGAAGGAGAAGAAGAAGAAGAAGAAG
Long non-coding RNA from Antechinus flavipes (yellow-footed antechinus), 744 nucleotides. RefSeq lists it as uncharacterized. The transcript is spliced from 4 exons. NCBI's taxonomy places the organism in Eukaryota, Metazoa, Chordata, Mammalia, Dasyuromorphia, Dasyuridae. The record is from RefSeq and is a predicted model, not a curated record.